UGUCAACAGGGCUGCCAACAUUUUGUGCUGUUAUCUGCGCCACUCGCGCAAUUCUGGCAACAGAAACAGCGACCACAACAACCACAUUCUGCACAUGGGAACAUAGUUUGGACUUUGGCGAUCGAAGAACGGAGACUGGAGAACAUGGGAACUGAGCUGAGGAAGCCACUGCCCAGACAAAGUGGCUGUGGGUCCGACUCGGGAUCUGCUGCGAAAUGCAGCAAACCACAUGUGAGCUAUGGGAGAAGCCGGCGGCGGAAGGUGGUCACCAUUGAGCAAAAGCCAAGAGCUACGGCGACCUCCGCACAUUGAGGAAAAUCAUUC
Molecule: non-coding RNA, 324 nt
Organism: Drosophila melanogaster (fruit fly)
Lineage: Eukaryota; Metazoa; Arthropoda; Insecta; Diptera; Drosophilidae
Source: Ensembl